AUGUUGGAAUCAUCAUCUGGGCAUUUACAUUGCCAACAAGAUGAAGUCGAUAGCAAGAAAGUGAUUGACCACCGGGGUGAAAUCACAGCCAUCGUCAAAGUGGGUAAUACAUAUCUCUGUCUCCAUUCCCUAGCAGUCCUCGUCUUCAUCUUGCUCCAGAUCGAGGACGAGGUCAUUUCCGCUCCCGUGGCCGUGCUUCAUCAGGCCGCUACACUUCAUCCAAGCAUGUGCUUCGUCCUCUCCCAGUCGCUACAGCCACGCCUAGACCUCAUGCCGUCCGCUGCUUCCCUUCCUCCUGCUCCGUCCAGAGCUUCCUUCGACCUUCACCCAGUUUCAACAGAUCUGAUACAUGUGGGAACGGCGGCGCCUGAAUCCAGUCGAGGGGCGUGA
RNAcentral lists this ribosomal RNA (390 nucleotides) under Triticum aestivum (bread wheat). RNAcentral describes it as "partial small subunit ribosomal RNA". Lineage: Eukaryota; Viridiplantae; Streptophyta; Magnoliopsida; Poales; Poaceae. The record is from RNAcentral.